RNAcentral lists this microRNA (22 nucleotides) under Glycine max (soybean). RNAcentral describes it as "gma-miR4363". Lineage: Eukaryota; Viridiplantae; Streptophyta; Magnoliopsida; Fabales; Fabaceae. The record is from miRBase by way of RNAcentral.
CGAUUACCAGAAGGCUUAUUAG